RNAcentral lists this transfer RNA (69 nucleotides) under Podarcis lilfordi (Lilford's wall lizard). RNAcentral describes it as "tRNA.Ala". It matches the Rfam family "tRNA". From Rfam's summary of the family: Transfer RNA (tRNA) molecules are approximately 80 nucleotides in length. Their secondary structure includes four short double-helical elements and three loops (D, anti-codon, and T loops). Further hydrogen bonds mediate the characteristic L-shaped molecular structure. tRNAs have two regions of fundamental functional importance: the anti-codon, which is responsible for specific mRNA codon recognition, and the 3' end, to which the tRNAs corresponding amino acid is attached (by aminoacyl-tRNA synthetases). tRNAs cope with the degeneracy of the genetic code in two manners: having more than one tRNA (with a specific anti-codon) for a particular amino acid; and 'wobble' base-pairing, i.e. permitting non-standard base-pairing at the 3rd anti-codon position. Lineage: Eukaryota; Metazoa; Chordata; Lepidosauria; Squamata; Lacertidae. The record is from RNAcentral.
GCUGUGGCUCAGAGGCAGAGAAUCUGCCUUGCAAGCAGAAGGUCCCAGGUUCAAUCCCAGACAUCUCCA